UCUUAACAGUUUAUAUUCUAUUUUUUUCCCAUUAACUUCGCCCAUGAAUCCUCUUCGACUCCUCUUUCUCGCUCUCUCUAUAUCUAGCGAUGAAAAAACCCUAUCAAUCUCCGCCGGAAAUUAAGAUCCACUGAAUGUGGCUUGCUUCAGUCGAUCUCAGCAAAGUACGAGUAUGUCGAGCAAACUCCUUCUGGAUCAGUCUUCGGAAAUUGUUUCUCAGCAGCUAUGUGAUCGAUGUGGCAUGUUAUUUAGAGAAUUGUCCAGAUUUGUAUUGGAAAGAUGCAUCUGCAGCCACAAGGGUCUGACAGACUCCAUUUACCCCACAUGGAAACCAGAGCUACGUACAUAGAGCUUGCUCAACAAAAGGGAAAAUGCAGUUGUAAAUACAUUUCUGGUGGUAUAUUCAAGGUGAAAGCUCGCAGGAUGUGCAGUGCUCGUGGAGCAAAGCUGUUACCUGCAGAAACUCUUAGACUUUGGUGAGGUAAAGAGAAGUUAUAUAUCAUUCUUUGAUAUCGAGAAACAUGAAACCGUGAAUUCCAGGUGGGAUCUCGAGCUUGGACAAGAGCAGAUGAGGUUGGUAAAGGUUUGUGACCUUUGACAUCGGUAUGGACAUAACCUUCAUUUUUACUAUAAGUUGCUCCACUUCCUGAGUAGAGACCUUCUACUGGUUUGAUAUUGGCAAGGAGAAAGAAGUAAAACUUGUGAAGAAGUGUCUCGGUUGAAACUUCAGCAUUAAUUAAGUACCUUGGUCCGUGGAGAUAUGCUUCAAACUUCUUCUAUGAAAGAUAGUGAUCCACAAAAAUUUUGGUGCUCAGCACAUUAAAAGUGUUAUAUGUUGGGAAGAAGGGGAAGUUUCAACAGUUAAGCUUCUUAGCCGGAGGAGCUAAUGUUGCUGCAUGAAGAUUUGUUGUUUAAAAUGGUGUUCUUAAGGCUGUUUGGCCAUUGUCCAUGCUUGGUAGCAAUUUUCAAUUUUAGUAUAAUAGAUCAUAUAAAAAUAUAGAUUGAAGUUAACCGUGUUGUGAGUAUU
Brassica oleracea var. oleracea is the source of this 1027-nucleotide long non-coding RNA. RefSeq lists it as uncharacterized. The transcript has 7 exons. NCBI's taxonomy places the organism in Eukaryota, Viridiplantae, Streptophyta, Magnoliopsida, Brassicales, Brassicaceae. The record is from RefSeq and is a predicted model, not a curated record.